This 392-nucleotide ribosomal RNA is filed under the name uncultured bacterium. Its description in RNAcentral is "partial 16S ribosomal RNA". It matches the Rfam family "Bacterial small subunit ribosomal RNA", at positions 523 to 917 of the family's 1533-position model. The record is from RNAcentral.
AUACGGAGGAUCCGAGCGUUAUCCGGAUUUAUUGGGUUUAAAGGGUGCGCAGGCGGGAGAUUAAGUCGGCGGUGAAAUUUUGCAGCUCAACUGUAAAAGUGCCUUCGAUACUGGUUUCCUUGAGUGUGGAUGAAGUAGGCGGAAUUUGUGGUGUAGCGGGGAAAUGCUUAGAUAUCACGAGGAACUCCGAUUGCGCAGGCAGCUUACUAAGCCAUAACUGACGCUCAUGCACGAAGGCGUGGGGAUCAAACAGGAUUAGAUACCCUGGUAGUCCACGCAGUAAACGAUGAUUACUCGCUGUUUGCGAUACAAUGUAAGCGGCUAAGCGAAAGCAUUAAGUAAUCCACCUGGGGAGUACGUUCGCAAGAAUGAAACUCAAAUGAAUUGACGGG